GAAGGCGGGAGGGGAAAGGCGGCGGGCAGGGUUGGGGGGGUGGUUUCUGGCCCCGCCCUCCUCCAGGUCCGGCUCCCAGGCCGGGAGUCCCUGCCCCACCCACCCAGAGAGGCUGCUGGAGACUCCAGGCCAUGGUUCUGAUGUCGGACCACGUGGCUGCUGGUGAGGGCCGGCACACCCUGGGAGGCCUGGGGCUGCAGCCUCCUUACCUCCAAGGCCAGCAGAGGCGGCAGGAGCCUGGAGACCGUCAGGAAAAGGCCCUGUGCCUCCGGACUGCACCUCCCCCGGGGGCACAGAGAGCCCCAGGGGUUCUGAAAGCUACCGCCAGCCACAUUGAAGAAUUUGGAGUAAGGAAGGUCGUCCCAGGCCUGGUCCCACAGCACAGCAUCCUGGGGACAUUCCUUCCAGCCCGUGAAGGACAUUUUCAAAAGCAGAGUAUUCACGCGUAAUCCCUUUGUUCUUGGCUUUCUGUUUUGUCAACAUUCCAUGGCAGACACUGUCCACACCCAUGCCUUUCACACAACUGUCCAGAGCCACGUCUGUAAUCUGAAGUGUUUCCAUCCACAAGUGCCCCCAUGAGGGUCAGAGGCUGUGAACGUUUUCAGGGCUUGAUACCAACGCUCAGUGACCAGGAAUUACGUGGCCUUGCGGGAGGGCAUGGGAUCAGCGCAACACGGUUCGAGACAUUCAUCAGUAGAAUGUAUUUUCCACUUCACUAGGCAAAGAGGUAAAAGGCGACCUCAUUUUAAUUUACAUUUCUUUGACUACAAUAAGAAUGACCAUCUUUCCAAAUAUAAUUCCUCUUACGUGAACUGCCGAAGCACGUCCUUCAGACAUUUAUCUAUUAUAAUCUUUUGUAUUUAAUUUGUGUGAACUGUUUUUUCAGGAUAAAUCAUUGUCCCAUUUGGUUCCAAUAUUUUUCUAGUCUUUUCUUCUUAGCUGUCUUUGAUUUUUUUGUUCUACGUUUUCCUAGGUUUGAAUGUAUUGCUCUUAGCAAUUUCAGAGUUCAGAAUGUUCCUUUCUCUUUGAUGAUCCAAAAACAUUCUAGUCUUGGUAAAAAACAAUUUGUAUCAUCUUUUUUCUUCCACUUAAAGAGUGUAAUUCUUUUCAAAUUUCUA
Long non-coding RNA from Camelus dromedarius (Arabian camel), 1118 nucleotides. RefSeq lists it as uncharacterized. NCBI's taxonomy places the organism in Eukaryota, Metazoa, Chordata, Mammalia, Artiodactyla, Camelidae. The transcript is spliced from 3 exons. The record is from RefSeq and is a predicted model, not a curated record.